RNAcentral lists this ribosomal RNA (253 nucleotides) under uncultured bacterium. RNAcentral describes it as "partial 16S ribosomal RNA". It matches the Rfam family "Bacterial small subunit ribosomal RNA", at positions 524 to 776 of the family's 1533-position model. The record is from RNAcentral.
UACGUAGGGGCCAAGCGUUGUCCGGAUUUAUUGGGCGUAAAGAGCUCGUAGGCGGUCUGUCGCGUCUGCUGUGAAAACUCAGGGCUUAACCCUGAGCUUGCAGUGGGAACGGGCAGACUAGAGUGCGGUAGGGGAGACUGGAAUUCCUGGUGUAGCGGUGAAAUGCGCAGAUAUCAGGAGGAACACCGGUGGCGAAGGCGGGUCUCUGGGCCGAUACUGACGCUGAGGAGCGAAAGCGUGGGGAGCGAACAGG